This 1431-nucleotide ribosomal RNA is filed under the name Klebsiella aerogenes. RNAcentral's name for it is "bacterial SSU rRNA". It matches the Rfam family "Bacterial small subunit ribosomal RNA". The record is from RNAcentral. Lineage: Bacteria; Pseudomonadati; Pseudomonadota; Gammaproteobacteria; Enterobacterales; Enterobacteriaceae.
GCGCGGCUACACAUGCAGUCGAGCGGUAGCACAGAGAGCUUGCUCUCGGGUGACGAGCGGCGGACGGGUGAGUAAUGUCUGGGAAACUGCCUGAUGGAGGGGGAUAACUACUGGAAACGGUAGCUAAUACCGCAUAACGUCGCAAGACCAAAGUGGGGGACCUUCGGGCCUCAUGCCAUCAGAUGUGCCCAGAUGGGAUUAGCUAGUAGGUGGGGUAAUGGCUCACCUAGGCGACGAUCCCUAGCUGGUCUGAGAGGAUGACCAGCCACACUGGAACUGAGACACGGUCCAGACUCCUACGGGAGGCAGCAGUGGGGAAUAUUGCACAAUGGGCGCAAGCCUGAUGCAGCCAUGCCGCGUGUAUGAAGAAGGCCUUCGGGUUGUAAAGUACUUUCAGCGAGGAGGAAGGCGUUAAGGUUAAUAACCUUAGCGAUUGACGUUACUCGCAGAAGAAGCACCGGCUAACUCCGUGCCAGCAGCCGCGGUAAUACGGAGGGUGCAAGCGUUAAUCGGAAUUACUGGGCGUAAAGCGCACGCAGGCGGUCUGUCAAGUCGGAUGUGAAAUCCCCGGGCUCAACCUGGGAACUGCAUUCGAAACUGGCAGGCUAGAGUCUUGUAGAGGGGGGUAGAAUUCCAGGUGUAGCGGUGAAAUGCGUAGAGAUCUGGAGGAAUACCGGUGGCGAAGGCGGCCCCCUGGACAAAGACUGACGCUCAGGUGCGAAAGCGUGGGGAGCAAACAGGAUUAGAUACCCUGGUAGUCCACGCCGUAAACGAUGUCGACUUGGAGGUUGUGCCCUUGAGGCGUGGCUUCCGGAGCUAACGCGUUAAGUCGACCGCCUGGGGAGUACGGCCGCAAGGUUAAAACUCAAAUGAAUUUGACGGGGGCCCGCACAAGCGGUGGAGCAUGUGGUUUAAUUCGAUGCAACGCGAAGAACCUUACCUACUCUUGACAUCCAGAGAACUUAGCAGAGAUGCUUUGGUGCCUUCGGGAACUCUGAGACAGGUGCUGCAUGGCUGUCGUCAGCUCGUGUUGUGAAAUGUUGGGUUAAGUCCCGCAACGAGCGCAACCCUUAUCCUUUGUUGCCAGCGGUCCGGCCGGGAACUCAAAGGAGACUGCCAGUGAUAAACUGGAGGAAGGUGGGGAUGACGUCAAGUCAUCAUGGCCCUUACGAGUAGGGCUACACACGUGCUACAAUGGCAUAUACAAAGAGAAGCGACCUCGCGAGAGCAAGCGGACCUCAUAAAGUAUGUCGUAGUCCGGAUUGGAGUCUGCAACUCGACUCCAUGAAGUCGGAAUCGCUAGUAAUCGUAGAUCAGAAUGCUACGGUGAAUACGUUCCCGGGCCUUGUACACACCGCCCGUCACACCAUGGGAGUGGGUUGCAAAAGAAGUAGGUAGCUUAACCUUCGGGAGGGCGCUUACCACUUGAUC